RNAcentral lists this long non-coding RNA (642 nucleotides) under Homo sapiens (human). RNAcentral's name for it is "HSALNT0311823". Lineage: Eukaryota; Metazoa; Chordata; Mammalia; Primates; Hominidae. The record is from RNAcentral.
UGCUGCAGUCUGAGCCUGACCCUGGGCUGGGGGAGUCCCGGGACUCCAGCCAGUGCCCAGUGGGCUCAGCCAUGCUUCCCCUGCCAGAAGAACUCUCCCUCCCAGGUACCCCGGCUAGCAGUAACCACUGCUCCAAGGUGAAGACUUGACAGAAGCGCUUCUAACUCCUCCACGAGGUUCCCACUGGACUAGGGAGCGAGGGAAGCCCAGAGAAGGGGCCAUGAGGCUAUGGCGUGGACCAUGAUGUUACAGCAGUCCUUUUAUCCUAGGGAGAGCUCAGCCAGCCUCGUCCCAGACCACAGCUUCCAUGUCUGCCUCAUUGGGGUCCUGUGCAAAGACCUGCCAUGGACAUUUCCAGUUUCCCAGGGAUUUACCAUUAAGGAUUCUGCCAUCACAGACCCCCCUUGCAAGGAGUGUGCUCGUGAGCAACGAGACCGCUGAGCAGAGUGUCUCGGUCCCUCUGAGUGUGCGUCUGUGUACUAGGGUUAUUGGUGCUCUGUGACUCUGGGCAAGAAUUUCAACUCCCCUGGGCCUCAGCUCCUCGUCUGUAAAACAGGGGUAAAUAAUUGGGCAAAUCUCCCAGGAUCAUGAGAAUUAAGUUAAAUGAGGGAGUGCUGGGAAGCCGAGCUCAGCCGGUGUCUG